This 440-nucleotide ribosomal RNA is filed under the name uncultured bacterium. RNAcentral describes it as "partial 16S ribosomal RNA". It matches the Rfam family "Bacterial small subunit ribosomal RNA", at positions 338 to 795 of the family's 1533-position model. The record is from RNAcentral.
CCUACGGGGGGCAGCAGUGGGGAAUAUUGCACAAUGGGGGAAACCCUGAUGCAGCGACGCCGCGUGAGUGAAGAAGUAUUUCGGUACGUAAAGCUCUAUCAGCAGGGAAGAAAAUGACGGUACCUGACUAAGAAGCUCCGGCUAACUACGUGCCAGCAGCCGCGGUAAUACGUAGGGGGCAAGCGUUAUCCGGAUUUACUGGGUGUAAAGGGAGCGUAGACGGCAGCGCAAGUCUGGAGUGAAAUCCCAUGGCUUAACCAUGGAACUGCUUUGGAAACUGUGCAGCUAGAGUGCAGGAGAGGUAAGCGGAAUUCCUAGUGUAGCGGUGAAAUGCGUAGAUAUUAGGAGGAACCCCAGUGGCGAAGGCGGCUUACUGGACUGUAACUGACGUUGAGGCUCGAAAGCGUGGGGAGCAAACAGGAUUAGAUACCCGAGUAGUC